This 90-nucleotide microRNA precursor is filed under the name Olea europaea subsp. europaea. The record is from RNAcentral. Lineage: Eukaryota; Viridiplantae; Streptophyta; Magnoliopsida; Lamiales; Oleaceae.
CACUAGUAUGAGUUAAAGCUGCCAGCGUGAUCUAAACGUUUCUUCUUUGAGGAACGAUAAGAUCACCUGGUUGCUUCAUCUAAUGCUGGU